This 867-nucleotide ribosomal RNA is filed under the name Russula pila. RNAcentral describes it as "partial large subunit ribosomal RNA". It matches the Rfam family "Eukaryotic large subunit ribosomal RNA", at positions 78 to 921 of the family's 3401-position model. The record is from RNAcentral. Lineage: Eukaryota; Fungi; Basidiomycota; Agaricomycetes; Russulales; Russulaceae.
CCCUAGUAACUGCGAGUGAAGCGGGAAAAGCUCAAAUUUAAAAUCUGGUGGUCUUUGGCCAUCCGAGUUGUAAUUUAGAGAAGCGUCUUCCGCGCUGGACCAUGCACAAGUCUCCUGGAAUGGAGCGUCAUAGAGGGUGAGAAUCCCGUCUUUGGCAUGGACCCCCAGUGCUUCUGUGAUGCGCUCUCAAAGAGUCGAGUUGUUUGGGAAUGCAGCUCAAAAUGGGUGGUGAACUCCAUCUAAAGCUAAAUAUUGGCGAGAGACCGAUAGCGAACAAGUACCGUGAGGGAAAGAUGAAAAGCACUUUGGAAAGAGAGUGAAACAGUACGUGAAAUUGUUGAAAGGGAAACGCUUGAAGUCAGUCGCGUCGACCGAGACUCAGCCUUGCCUUGGCUUGGUGUACUUCUCGGCUGACGGGUCAGCAUCAAUUUUGAUCCUUGGAUAAUGGCAAGGGAAAGGUAGCACCUUUACAGGUGUGUUAUAGUCCUCUGUCGGAUGCAAGGGUUGGGAUUGAGGAACUCAGCACGCACCUUGUCGGUGUCGGGGCCUUGGCCUACGUUACGUGCUUAGGAUGCUGGCAUAAUGGCUUUAAACGACCCGUCUUGAAACACGGACCAAGGAGUCUAACAUGCACGCGAGUGUUCGGGUGGAAAACCCGUGCGCGUAAUGAAAGUAAAAGUUGGGACCUCUGUCGUGGAGGGCACCGACGCCCGGACCAGACCUUCUGUGACGGCUCUGCGGUAGAGCGUGUAUGUUGGGACCCGAAAGAUGGUGAACUAUGCCUGAAUAGGGUGAAGCCAGAGGAAACUCUGGUGGAGGCUCGUAGCGAUUCUGACGUGCAAAUCGAUCGUCAAAUUUGGGUAUAGG